RNAcentral lists this transfer RNA (75 nucleotides) under Pleodorina starrii. RNAcentral's name for it is "tRNA-Gln". The stretch from base 5 to 67 matches the Rfam family "tRNA", at positions 5 to 66 of the family's 71-position model. Rfam says of the family: Transfer RNA (tRNA) molecules are approximately 80 nucleotides in length. Lineage: Eukaryota; Viridiplantae; Chlorophyta; Chlorophyceae; Chlamydomonadales; Volvocaceae. The record is from RNAcentral.
GGACCUGUGGUCUAGUGGUUAGGACACAUGACUCUGAAUCACGUAACCCGAGUUCAAGUCUCUGUAGCGGAUCCU